CCUACGGGUGGCUGCAGUGGGGAAUAUUGGGCAAUGGGCGCAAGCCUGACCCAGCGACGCCGCGUGAGGGAAGAAGGCUUUCGGGUUGUAAACUUCUGUUAUCAGGGACGAAGCAAGUGACGGUACCUGACGAAUACGCCACGGCUAACUACGUGCCAGCAGCCGCGGUAAUACGUAGGUGGCACGCGUUAGCCGGAUUUACUGGGAGUAAAGGGCGUGUAGGCGGGGAGGCAAGUCAUCGGUGAAAACCACGGGCUCAACCUGUGACCUGCCUUUGAAACUGUUUUUCUUGAGUGCUGGAGAGGCGAGUGGAAUUCCGGGUGUAGCGGUGAAAUGCGUAGAUAUACGGAGGAACACCAGUGGCGAAGGCGGAUUGCUGGACAGUAACUGACGCUGAGGCGCGAAAGCGUGGGGAGCAAACAGGAUUAGAUACCCUGGUAGUC
This 443-nucleotide ribosomal RNA is filed under the name uncultured bacterium. RNAcentral's name for it is "partial 16S ribosomal RNA". It matches the Rfam family "Bacterial small subunit ribosomal RNA", at positions 338 to 795 of the family's 1533-position model. The record is from RNAcentral.